Molecule: ribosomal RNA, 403 nt
Filed under: Verrucomicrobiota bacterium
Lineage: Bacteria; Pseudomonadati; Verrucomicrobiota
Description: Verrucomicrobia bacterium partial 16S ribosomal RNA
Rfam family: Bacterial small subunit ribosomal RNA
Source: RNAcentral
UGGGGAAUAUUGCACAAUGGGGGAAACCCUGAUGCAGCGACGCCGCGUGAGCGAAGAAGGCUUUCGAGUCGUAAAGCUCUGUCCUAUGAGAAGAUAAUGACGGUAUCAUAGGAGGAAGCCCUGGCUAAAUACGUGCCAGCAGCCGCGGUAAUACGUAUGGGGCGAGCGUUGUCCGGAAUUAUUGGGCGUAAAGGGUACGUAGGCGGUUUUUUAAGUCAGGUGUCAAAGCGUGGAGCUUAACUCCAUUAAGCACUUGAAACUGAAAGACUUGAGUGAAGGAGAGGAAAGUGGAAUUCCUAGUGUAGCGGUGAAAUGCGUAGAUAUUAGGAGGAAUACCGGUGGCGAAGGCGACUUUCUGGACUUUUACUGACGCUGAGGCACGAAAGCGUGGGGAGCAAACAGG